GACUCAUCACGUGACUCGCUCCGGCCGCAGCCCCCUCGGAAGCUGCUAGGCGGAAGUAGAAGUUCAGAAGAGGGCUAGGCGGAGCCGAGCCCACAUCCGGGAGAGGAGAGCGGAAGUGGCGUUGGUCUGGCCGGAGCCCUUGGGUGAAAUUGUUAGGCGUGGAGAGGGAGUGAUGUCUUCCAGACUCGGUGCUGUACCCGCCACUUCGGGACCCACAACCUUUAAGCAGCAGAGGAGCACGAGGAUCGUGGGAGCUAAGAAUAGCAGGACCCAGUGCUCCAUAAAGGAUAAUAGUUUCCAGUACACUAUCCCUCAUGAUGACUCCUUAAGUGGUUCAUCGUCUGCAUCUUCGUGUGAACCAGUGAGUGAUUUUCCAGCAUCUUUCCGAAAAUCUACCUACUGGAUGAAGAUGAGAAGAAUCAAGCCAGCUGCUACUUCGCAUGUCGAAGGGUCAGGUGGAGUAUCAGCCAAGGGGAAAAGGAAACCCAGGCAGGAAGAAGAUGAAGACUAUCGAGAAUUUCCUCAGAAGAAGCAUAAGCUUUAUGGGAGGAAGCAACGGCCUAAAACUCAGCCCAAUCCCAAAUCCCAGGCCCGUCGUAUUCGGAAGGAACCACCAGUUUAUGCAGCAGGCAGUUUGGAGGAGCAAUGGUACUUAGAAAUCGUUGAUAAAGGCAGUGUCUCCUGCCCUACCUGCCAGGCAGUGGGGAGGAAGACCAUAGAGGGUUUAAAGAAACACAUGGAAAACUGCAAGCAGGAAAUGUUUACUUGUCAUCAUUGUGGGAAACAACUUCGUUCACUGGCAGGGAUGAAGUAUCAUGUCAUGGCAAAUCAUAAUAGUUUGCCCAUUUUGAAAGCCGGAGAUGAAAUAGAUGAGCCAAGUGAGAGGGAAAGGCUCCGAACAGUUCUAAAGAGACUGGGAAAGCUCAGGUGCAUGCGUGAGAGUUGCUCCAGUAGCUUCACCAGCAUCAUGGGAUAUCUCUACCAUGUCAGAAAAUGUGGCAAAGGGGCUGCAGAGCUGGAAAAGAUGACCCUGAAAUGUCACCACUGUGGAAAACCAUAUAGGUCGAAGGCUGGACUUGCGUAUCACCUGAGGUCAGAGCAUGGGCCUAUAUCCUUCUUUCCAGAGUCAGGACAGCCAGAGUGCUUAAAGGAGAUGAACCUAGAGUCAAAGAGUGGGGGCCGAGUUCAGAGACGUUCUGCCAAGAUAGCUGUAUACCACCUGCAGGAGCUGGCCUCUGCUGAACUGGCCAAGGAAUGGCCCAAGAGGAAGGUGCUUCAGGACCUGGUACCUGAUGAUCGAAAGUUAAAAUAUACUCGUCCAGGGCUACCUACCUUCAGCCAGGAAGUACUACAUAAAUGGAAGACAGAUAUCAAGAAAUAUCAUCGUAUUCAGUGUCCUAACCAGGGCUGUGAGGCUGUCUACAGCAGUGUAUCUGGCCUUAAAGCUCACCUGGGCUCUUGUACAUUGGGAAACUUUGUGGCUGGAAAAUACAAAUGUCUUCUAUGUCAGAAAGAAUUUGUGUCAGAGAGUGGUGUCAAGUAUCACAUCAACUCUGUCCAUGCUGAGAAAAUUUCAAACACAUGAAAGUAGAGAAAAUAGCAUAAUGAACCCAGUAUGCUGUCAGCCAUCCUCAGCAAUCAUCAGUGUAUGGCCAAUCUUGUGUCAUUUAUAACCUCACUUUUCUCCUCCCUUAAAGGCUUACUUUAAAGCAAAUUCCACAUAAAAUUUCAGCUGACUGGUUCGUUGUAAACCCAACAACAACCAAAAGCUUUGAAAAGCUGAUGAAGAUAAAGCAGCGGCAGCAAGAAGAAGAAAAGCGGAGGCAGCAGCACAGGAGCAGAAGGUCUCUAAGAAGGCGGCAGCAGCCUGGCAUUGAGCUUCCCGAGACAGAGCUGAGUCUUAGAGUAGGGAAGGAUCAGAGGAGGAAUAAUGAGGAACUGGUAGUGUCAGCCUCCUGUAAGGAACCAGAGCAGGAGCCAGUGCCAGCACAGUUCCAGAAAGUAAAGCCCCCAAAGACUAAUCAUAAACGAGGAAGGAAAUAGGCAGUCAGUGUAAAAGUGCUCCUAGGAAAGCAGAUGUGAUGCUGUUGUCACGGGGACCUGUGCUGGGAGGACUGAGUGAAGAUUCUUUCAGCUGUUUGUGUAAGGCUGUGACUUUCUCAGCUCCUUCCUCCUGUGUAAAUUUCACUGUCUUCCCUUCUUACACUUUGAUUCCCCCUCCCCUUUUAGUAGGUUUUCCUGCUAUUCCUCGUCAAGUCCUCUUGUUUUUUUAUCUUGCCCAAAGAGCUCCCUCUCAAGGCCAACUAUAGGCUCCUCUUGCCCUGUACAAAACUAAGAAACCUCUUUGGUUGUCCUUUCCUUCCUGGGGUAUAGAAUGUUCUUGGAAGCUCCAUGAUUUAGUAGCUGCUCCAUCAUCUAGCUUGUGAAACCAUUCCAAACUAAUUUUUUAAAACCAUAACUGAUUUGUCAUUUUGUAUUUGUGAUAUAACAAGUCUAGAAGCUAGAAGUGUUGUCAUUCACAUAAUAAGAUUACUCUGUCUCCUUGGGAAAAAAACUUUAUGGAGGCUGUUUGUCCUCUCAAUAUGGUUUUAAGAUUGAAAGUAAGAAAACGGAUUUAGGAUGAAAACUCUAGAACUACCCUAUGCUGUUUAUACUGGGAAAUGCUUUGUACCAAGUAGCAGUGACUAGACCCACAGACAUGAAAAGCAACCUUAGGAGUAAAGUGACCCAAACAUUAAAAUGACAGGAAAGAGAAAGUAGAAGCAGCAAUAAAUACUGCCCCAACUUUCCUGGAGCCCGAGGCCUCAUCCAUAGCUAUGAUCACUUGCCCUCUGAAGCUUAUUUUUGCUUCUUUGGUUUUAAGAAUUGAGAAAUAUCACAUUGCCCCUGAUGUUUUGACAGUCUCCUAGUGCUCCUGGUAGUGCCACUAAGGGAAAACCAAGGUGCGCAUUCCUUCUCCCUGGACUUUACCUUACUUGUUAGUCUACGCCCCACUGUUUUCACCCAUCCCCUUAGCCAACCUCUGUCUUUUUGAAUUUUCUGAGAAUAUUGUCCUAUCCUCUUUUAUAUAUGGAGUUCUCUCCUCUUUAUAUCCUGAGACUUUGACACCAGAUGUAGAUAUUUAUCUGGAGCUGGAAAGAAAAAUUCUUUUUCUGUACCUCAUGCCUAUCUGGUAAUGUUUAAUGGGUUAUUUCUCUUUGAGGGUGGCUUUCUCUGGAACAUUGGUUAGAGCAGGUUUGUUGUCGUGUUUCUGGAUUCUCUUCCCCAUUUUGCGUAAAUAUUGGUCUUAUAUAUUCUUGCCUAUUUUGUGGCAUAUGCCACAUAAAAAAUGAACCCUGAUACAGACAAGUACUACCUUUUCAAAUUCUGAAAGGCUAUUACCACUUUAACUCUUUGUGCUCCUCCAAAUAGCUUUAAAAUGUGGGCUUUUGUGAAGACCACUUUCAAACAAGGGAGCACUGAAACCUGAAUUGGAUACUGCCAGAAUAGGUAGUUUUGAAACAAGUUAAGGACAUGGUAUAUGCACUCUGCAUUUUCAUUGGCAGUGUGCCCUUAAAGCCCUUUCAGUAGAUGAGGGUUGUCAGGGAGGAGAAAUGAAGAAGCUAUGUUAAUUUCUGGUGAGUAAGACCUGGGGAAUGUUUGGCAAUGACAAAAGAAAUAAAUGACUCUCAGAAA
Molecule: RNA transcript, 3675 nt
Organism: Pan troglodytes (chimpanzee)
Lineage: Eukaryota; Metazoa; Chordata; Mammalia; Primates; Hominidae
Gene: ZNF512
Gene name: zinc finger protein 512
Exons: 15
Source: RefSeq, a predicted model, not a curated record